Danio rerio (zebrafish) is the source of this 742-nucleotide non-coding RNA. Lineage: Eukaryota; Metazoa; Chordata; Actinopteri; Cypriniformes; Danionidae. The record is from Ensembl.
UUUGCGCAGCUGCAGCCAGACUACACACACAUGAGUGUAUGUCGCCACUAUGACGGCAAUUAACAUCUUGCCUCAGUGAUGUGCGUAUUUGCAAUGACAGCUCCUGUAGUCUGGAAACCAGGAAGGAUCCACCUACUAGGUAAAUGUACGGAGAGGAGAACCUUAACUCAUCUUCCCGGAGAGACUAAUUUCAGGUGCUAGAUGUUUUGUCUCAGCCCUGCAGCCAUGGAUCAGAUGAGAGAGCUCUGCACCUGUUGAACCUCACCACGCUAGCUUACAAUGUUCUGCUGGGAGCACCGACCCCAACCUUGGCAUGAGAAAGGAAAGGAGCGAAGGAGGUCUCGCCCUUCUCCACCAAGGACUGAUGUUGGAGAAAGGAGGGGUUCGAUGUCUUUGCCAACUGGCUCGUGUUCCAUGGGAAAGCCAGCCAGCAUCAUCCCAGCGUGAUACAGCCUGGCCUGGCAGAGCUCCAUACAUCCUGCAGACACCCCACCCGCCCCUUUACAACAGGAAUCCACAGGUCCUGCUGCACUCAGAGGAACCAGGCCAAAUACCGUUUACACCCGCUAGUAAGAUGCAUUUUGGGUAAUAUGAUCACAUAUUGUUAAAAAAUAGGAGACAGAUGUGGUCACAUUAACAAAAGUCCCAUGAUAUUUUGUGGCAAAAAGCUCGUUUAAUUUCUACACUUUCUGAUUCCAAAAGAGAACAAGUGGUGCAAAUAGUUUUCAAUGCAGACUGCUGU